RNAcentral lists this ribosomal RNA (1346 nucleotides) under uncultured bacterium. RNAcentral's name for it is "partial 16S ribosomal RNA". It matches the Rfam family "Bacterial small subunit ribosomal RNA", at positions 28 to 1381 of the family's 1533-position model. The record is from RNAcentral.
GACGAACGCUGGCGGCGUGCUUAACACAUGCAAGUCGAACGGAAAGGCCCUGCUUUUGUGGGGUGCUCGAGUGGCGAACGGGUGAGUAACACGUGAGUAACCUGCCCUUGACUUUGGGAUAACUUCAGGAAACUGGGGCUAAUACCGGAUAGGAGCUCCUGCUGCAUGGUGGGGGUUGGAAAGUUUCGGCGGUUGGGGAUGGACUCGCGGCUUAUCAGCUUGUUGGUGGGGUAGUGGCUUACCAAGGCUUUGACGGGUAGCCGGCCUGAGAGGGUGACCGGCCACAUUGGGACUGAGAUACGGCCCAGACUCCUACGGGAGGCAGCAGUGGGGAAUAUUGCACAAUGGGCGGAAGCCUGAUGCAGCAACGCCGCGUGCGGGAUGACGGCCUUCGGGUUGUAAACCGCCUUCGCCUGUGACGAAGCGUGAGUGACGGUAAUGGGUAAAGAAGCACCGGCUAACUACGUGCCAGCAGCCGCGGUGAUACGUAGGGUGCGAGCGUUGUCCGGAUUUAUUGGGCGUAAAGGGCUCGUAGGUGGUUGAUCGCGUCGGAAGUGUAAUCUUGGGGCUUAACCCUGAGCGUGCUUUCGAUACGGGUUGACUUGAGGAAGGUAGGGGAGAAUGGAAUUCCUGGUGGAGCGGUGGAAUGCGCAGAUAUCAGGAGGAACACCAGUGGCGAAGGCGGUUCUCUGGGCCUUUCCUGACGCUGAGGAGCGAAAGCGUGGGGAGCGAACAGGCCUAGAUACCCUGGUAGUCCACGCUGUAAACGGUGGGUACUAGGUGUGGGGUCCAUUCCACGGGUUCCGUGCCGUAGCUAACGCUUUAAGUACCCCGCCUGGGGAGUACGGCCGCAAGGCUAAAACUCAAAGGAAUUGACGGGGCCCCGCACAAGCGGCGGAGCAUGCGGAUUAAUUCGAUGCAACGCGUAGAACCUUACCUGGGUUUGACAUGGAUCGGGAGUGCUCAGAGAUGGGUGUGCCUCUUUUGGGGUCGGUUCACAGGUGGUGCAUGGCUGUCGUCAGCUCGUGUCGUGAGAUGUUGGGUUAAGUCCCGCAACGAGCGCAACCCUUGUUCACUGUUGCCAGCACGUUAUGGUGGGGACUCAGUGGAGACCGCCGGGGUCAACUCGGAGGAAGGUGGGGAUGACGUCAAGUCAUCAUGCCCCUUAUGUCCAGGGCUUCACGCAUGCUACAAUGGCUGGUACAGAGAGUGGCGAGCCUGUGAGGGUGAGCGAAUCUCGGAAAGCCGGUCUCAGUUCGGAUUGGGGUCUGCAACUCGACCUCAUGAAGUCGGAGUCGCUAGUAAUCGCAGAUCAGCAACGCUGCGGUGAAAACGUUCCCGGGGCU